ACAGGCUUCUGCGAUGACUGUGGAAACCACUGCUUAUGCCUUGCUUCAAGCAUUGUCAAGGAAUGAUAUUGACUAUGCAACACCGAUUGCGAGGUGGCCAACGAUGCAACAGAACUAUGGUGGUGGAUUUCACUCGACGCAGAUAACAUCAGGUGAAGACGUGCGUGAUUUCAGCAAGGUGCUGAAAAAUAAGUUCAGAUCAAAGAAACACUUUGCCAAACAUCCUCGCUUGAGUUAUUUACUAGUACAAACAGUUCUAGAAGGCGAGAACCUUGAGAGGACACAAUCAUCGCCUUGUAAGCUUCAUCACGAUACUACUUUGCAUUUCUGAAGAGGGAAGAAGAAAUCAACAUGCAAAUUCAAUUCCAUGGUUUUGGAAGUCCCAUUGAGAACACGAUUCAUUUGCGCCGGCAUAAUGCUCUGACCGAGAAAGAAUUGAAGAGAAGGAGCGGGAGCACCAGAGGAAGUGACGAGGACCAGAGGGGCAGCCGGGAAGGAAAGCAGUGACCAUAUAUAUCAGCAAGGCAGCUAAACCCGAGACUCUACAACUGUAGUGUCUCCCACCCGCCCUCCUCCUCUAACCUAGUUUAUAAGGAAGAGGAGAAUAUCAUCGAGACGACUGAGAUACGUGCUAUUAGACUUGAAAGGAUUCAGUACCACGCUGAGGAUUGUUAUCCCGAUAGUUCUUUCGUCUCAGUCCGUGUGUAUUCCUGGGCGAAUGUGCUCGUGUGGUCUCAGGAGUUGGGGAGGUCACGGCUCUGGGACAGCCGUUUCAUCGCCCAAUGCUGCAGUUAAGAAGAAAAGAAAAUCUCUUGCUCUGAGCUCUGCAAACCUGGGCAAUGUCAAAAGGGAAACAAGGAAAAAAGCAAUGAAAGUGCCGUUCAUGUUUUGCACGGCGAGCUGCUGAAUACUAACCGGUCUCACACCAUUACCGUCACCUUGCCCUUGUGACGGCAGAUAUGGAUAAGGUUCUCAAAGCUGAUAGAAGAUUGAAACCACUCUCGUCCUGUGACGAUGGGUCAGGACUAUCUUCAAAAUCUGAGAUUGGGUUUUGAAAGACAGCAGUCUUUGUUUUGGAGAGAUAAUGGGAACUGCAGAUGCUGGAGAAUGCGAGAUAACAACGUGUGGAGCUGGAUGAAGACAGCAGCAUCUGAGGAGCACAAAAGCUGACGUUUCGGGCCGAGAACCUUCUUCAGAAAAUGGGGAGGGGGUGCGGGUUCUGAAAUAAAUAGGGAGAGAGGGGGAGGCGGAUGGAAGAUGGAUGGAGGAGAAGAUAGGUGGAGAGGAGAGUAUGGGUAGGGAGGCAGGGAGGGGAUAGGUCAGUCUGGGGAGGCCGGACAGGUCAAGGGAGCGGGAUGAGGGGAAAUAGGGGUGCGGUAUGAGGUGGGAGGGGUGAUGGGUGAGAGGAAGAAUAGGUUAGGGAGGCGGGGACGAGCUGGGCUGGUUUUGGGAUGCAGUGGCAGGAAAGGAGAUUUGGAAGCUUGUGAAAUCCACACUGAUAGCAUUGGGCUGCAGGGUUCCCAAGCAGAAUAUGAUUUGCUGUUCCUGCAACCUUGGGGUGGCGUCAUUAUGGCACUGCAGGAGGCCCAGGUUGGACAUGUCCUCUCGGGAAUGGGAGGGGGAGUUGAAAUGGUUAGUGACUGGGAGGUGCAGUUGUUUCUUGCAAACUGAGCGUAGGUGUUCUGAAAAGCGGUCCCCAAGCCUCUGCAUCGUUUCCCCAAUGUAGAGGAAGCCACAACGGGGACAGCGGAUGUUUUGGAUAUUUCUGAAGCAUUGAUUUUCAUUCAGAGUUGGUUGGAUUUUGCUGAAGCAAUAGACGUAACUCACUAUGACGUAGACAAUGUCAGAGUUAAUGUUUCGCGUCCUGUGACCCUUCCUCAGAUCUCACUCUUCACUGAUGCUGCCAGACCUGCUGAGCUUUUCCAGCAACUUCUGCUUUUGUUGCUGAUUUACAGUGCCCACAGUUCUUUUGUUUUUUACGACACAGACAAAACUUGAUCUCUGCAGGAAGCAUGAUGCUGCAUUCUCCAACUUUCCUGCCUUUUUGUAAUAUAAUAUUGUCUUUUUAGGACAGAAGUGGCUUUUUUUGUUUGUUUUAACUUCCGCACAUACUUUCUAUGCAGGUUAAAAGUCUACACCUUUUCAGUUCUCUGCUGCAUAAUGAAGACUUGGAACAAUUUUUUUUUAUAAAGUAGAAAAUCAGUGUGGUUCGUUUUCCAAAAUGUGAUUUGUAAGUGCAACACUUAACAGUGUGUUCAUCAAACUAUUGUUUCCUUUGAUCUUUGUGUUGCAGAAAUUUCUAGAAUCAUUUCAUAUAUAUUUUUCUUGAUAUAUUUUAGCAGCUUUCCUGGAGCAAAUCUGUUUUCCUUCGGAUGAGACGACUUUCAGACAUACUCCCUUUAUUAUGAGAUUUAAUUGCGGUAAAAUGAGGAGGAUUUUUAUUCACUCAGACACACAUGACUAUAUGUUGAAAGCAUUGGAAAAAGCGUUCUGUUCGGACUGUCAUGUUAUCUGGUGUUUGUACCAGGCUUUCCGAUUAAAUGCAAGUGAUUAAGGAUGCUACUGAUGCCACAUGUUAUUACAAGAAGAAAUGAACAUACAAGUAAGGAUUUUAUGCCACAUUUAUACAUAGCAUGGGCCAUGCAGCAUGGAUGCAGUGACUGAGUGAAAUGGGAUGCAGUGACUGAGUGAAAUGGGAUGCAGUGACUGAGUGAAAUGGGAUGCAGUGACUGAGUGAAAUGCUCACAGCGAAUUGCCCCCUCCAUCAUGACCCGCUCACAGCGACUUGCCCCUGCAGUCCUGACCUGCUCACAGCGACUUCUCUCUGCAGACCUGACCCGCUCACAGCGACUCGCCCCUUCAGUCCUGUCCCAAUCACAAGGACUUGCCCUCUCCGUCCUAACCCGCUCACAGUGACUUGCCCCUGCAGUCCUGACCCCCUCACAGUGACCUGCCCCCUCACUCCUGACCCGGUCUACAUUGAGGAAACCAAGCAGAGGCUUGGGGACCGCUUUGCAGAACACCUCCACUCGGUUCGCAACAAACAACUGCACUUCCCAGUCGCGAACCAUUUUAACUCCCACUCCCAUUCCUGAGACGACAUGUCCAUCAUGGGCCUCCUGCAGUGCCACAAUAAUGCCACCCGAAGGUUGCAAGAACAGCAACUCAUAAUCCGCUUGGGGACCCUGCAACCCAAUGGUAUCCAUGUGGACUUCACCAGCUUCAAAAUCUCCCCUUCCCCAACUGCAUCCCAAAACCAGCCCAGUUCUUCCCCUCCCCCUACUGCAUCACAAAACCAGCCCAGCUGUUCCCUUCCCCCGACUGCAUCCCAAAACCAGCCCAGCCUGUCUCCGCCUCCCUAACAUGUUGUUCCUCUCACCCAUCCCUUCCUCCCACCUCAAGCCACGCCUCAUCCUGCCUCCUUGACCUGCCUGUCUUCCCUGGACUGACCUAUGCCCUCCCUACCUCCUCACCUGUACUCUCCUCUCUACCUAUCGUGUUUUCUCUCCAUCUUCGGUCCGCAUCCCCCCCCUCCCUAUUUAUUCCAGUUCCCUCUCCCAUCCCCCUCUCUGAUGAAGGGUCUAGGCCCAAAAUGUCAGCUUUUGUGCUCCUGAGAUGCUGCUUGGCCUGCUGUGUUCAUCCAGCUCCACACUUUGUUAUGUUGGAUUCUCCAGCAUCUGCAGUUCCCAUUAUCAGUGGCAUUUUCCUCUUCAUCAAAGUUUGUGCAAAAGCAACACGAUAUGGGGCGGCACGGUGGCUCAGCGGUUAGCACUGCAGCCUCACAGCACUGGGGACCCAGGUUCAAUUCCAGCCUCAGGCAACUGUCUGUGUGGAAUUUGCACCUUGUCCCUGUGUCUGCAUGGGUUUCCACCAGGUGCUCCGGUCUCCUCCCACAGUCCAAAGAUGUGCACGCUAGGUGGAUUGGCCAUGCUAAAUUGCCCGUAGUGUUCAGGGGCGUGGGUCUGGGUGGGAUGCUCCAAGGUUUGGUGUACACUUGUUGGGCCAAAGGGCCUGUAUCCACACUGCAGGGAAUCUAAACAAACCUGUUCCCACAUCUCCAUGUUAUAACCCUGCUGAUCACUGCACACAGAGAUGUUUGAUAACAAAAGGAUAACAAUAAUAUUCAAACCUAGUGCUGGAGAUGUAUUUUAAAUACACGGAGGCCAGUGUCGAUCUCCAAUUCAACUUUUAUUUACAAAUGAACUGUCUUCAACUUUAGCACUGCCUCAUUCAGAGAUAGUUGCCAGGGUGUCAGCAUCUCUGAUGCUCACACUUCUUAUCUGUCAGCCAGGGCUCCCUGAUUUGGGCUGUUAAUAUGGAACAAUCGGGCAACUCAUAUUCUGUGAGGUUCAACUGGCCGACCUGGUCACAAACCAGCGCGGUGUGUUCAUCGAAAAUCAAACGUACUAGAAAGAUACCAUUCCAGACCAGUGUAAAGGAAGGCAUGAGGCUAAACUGGGGAGGGAAGGGAACUGCUUAUUGGGGGUGGCCCAGAGAGUAAAAGAAAAUCGAAUGGGAAGAAGACCAUUUGAGACUGAGGGAGAGAGAUGUAAUUGCCUGAAUGAGGCAUUCCAAUUGCGAAAUGGAUUUUUGUGUAUACACCAUGUUCAGUUUCCCCGAUCUUCAUCUGUACUCCUCUUUAAAUCAUUAGUAUCUGAAAUUUCUGUAUCAUUUCCAAAUGUUCUGUCUCUAAUGUUAUGCUGUUGGAAUUGGUUGAACUGCAGAGAUAUUAUUUAUUUGCACAAAUGUGUUCAGUGAAAUGAGUUGCAUGCUAUAUAUGUAUUAUUCUUCCUGAUUCUAUUGUAUGCAUACAAAUUAAAGUUAGU
Stegostoma tigrinum is the source of this 4826-nucleotide long non-coding RNA. RefSeq lists it as uncharacterized. The record is from RefSeq and is a predicted model, not a curated record. NCBI's taxonomy places the organism in Eukaryota, Metazoa, Chordata, Chondrichthyes, Orectolobiformes, Stegostomatidae. The transcript is spliced from 8 exons.